GUAGUACAAAUGGUAAGAAAAUAAUUAAAAUUUGAGUUGGUAACAUUUAUCUGCAGAGGACACCGUUUGAAACCAGGCUUUGUGUGUAUUCAUUUAUUUCAGGCUGCAACUUCCUGUCAGCAAGAUCUCCAAGCAGCUCUUCCCUCCAGUUGACAUGGGAACCAUAUCCGACAGGAACCAGCUACAUUUUAGAUAUCCGAAGGACAAACUCCGUAGAUACUCCGAUUAUUAUAUUAGGGCUUGACCAAAGGACAGAAAGGAUUGUGCAGGGUCUGUUACCUGGAACCGAGUACAAUGUGACCCUAAAAGUCUUUAGGUUCUACUUCAUAGACUGUAUGACCUCAACGUUGGCACGUACAGGUACAAUCAUUUGUUUUUCUGUGUUACAAGUUUAUUGCUGAAAUUAACACAAUUCAUGAGAUAAAUCAUGUAACGUAGAUAUGACAGAGAAUGCAUACAUUGUAUAAGUUGCCCCAAAUCCAGUUCCUGUCCAGUCAAAGUACACCUUUUCCUUUUUCUCUGCUGUGUCUCCCCAGUCCCUGACACGCCUCAGAUAUCGGAGGGAAGGCCAUUAUCCAGCUCUUCAAUCUCUGUAAGAUGGACUAAUGUGACUUCUGGGCAGUAUUAUGUACUGCAGGUUUAUUCUCAGACCACAGGGAAAAUGGUCAACUUCACCCUCUUCAACACCUCAACUGUAGUAAGAAACCUUCAGCCUUCUACCAACUACGACUGCUAUGUCUAUUCAGUUAACCAGGCCGGCUUUGGGAACAGAAGCCGAGUUAGGACCAUCACCACUUUGACGCCCCCUCCAGUAGGCGUUAAAGCAGUACAAACAAACCCAGUAACGGCAAGAGUGACGUGGCAGCCCGUGGACAACGUCCUCAUGUACAAAGUCGCCAUCCAGAACCUGGAUGAACCCACCAGCCAGCCCUCAGUCUACAAUGUCACAAACACCCAGCUGGACAUUGGAAACAUCCACCCCUGUACCAACUAUCUGAUAUCAGUGUCCUCAUAUAACACAUUUUUGGCUGUAAGCGAGCCCACAGACUACAUGUACACCACUAACAGUAAGUUGGCAGAGUCAAACCAAUAUCUAUAACUUGGUGAU
RNAcentral lists this long non-coding RNA (1108 nucleotides) under Oryzias sinensis (Chinese medaka). Its description in RNAcentral is "lncRNA (ENSOSIG00000008145.1)". The record is from RNAcentral. Lineage: Eukaryota; Metazoa; Chordata; Actinopteri; Beloniformes; Adrianichthyidae.